Jatropha curcas is the source of this 1022-nucleotide long non-coding RNA. RefSeq lists it as uncharacterized. The record is from RefSeq and is a predicted model, not a curated record. Lineage: Eukaryota; Viridiplantae; Streptophyta; Magnoliopsida; Malpighiales; Euphorbiaceae.
GGGAAUGUUGUCUGGUUCGAUGUCAUUCAUGUAAAACUGAUCAAAUAUUAAUCAACCGUUGGAUGAAUGAUUUCGGACCAGGCUUCAUUCCCCCCAACUAGGUUUGAUCAAUCUUUUAACUCUCAGUAUCUCUGUAUAUAUAGCUUCCAUGAUUACUUCUUCAUCAAACCAUAAUAUACAGCUUGCAAGAAACAUAAGGGUUUAUCGAUAUCUGAUAAAGACCAAAAAGAGCAAGAAUUCGGUCACCGGAACGAGCCCGCGAGCCCGGAAGCAGGUCCGGAUAAAUAUAUAUAUAUAUACACACAAUUUUCUAGAGAACGGUGUGUCGUUGCCUGCCGAUACCAAUCUCUCAGGUUAUCCAUGGAACAUUUGCCUAUACGUAAUUACACUGUCAGCAAAUUCAAAAUUAGCACUUUCAAUAAUUUUUUCUUUUUUCCUUCUUUUACCCUCUUUGGGAAGAGCAGAUUCUCUCUCCAAAUUUCCUUGCUAACCAAAGAAAAGCUGCAGAAAGUUUCAGUAGAUUGAUAGACCUCUUACUAAAGAAAAAAGGAAAAUCUAACAUUUAAAACAGAAUAAGAAAGCAAAAAUUAAGGUUGAGAUGAAUAUCUUCAAUUUCGAUCCACUUCACCUGCAACACCAUGAUCAGAGCUUUCACUGUAAAAUGAACCCACAGCUAUUGCUUUCCUCUUCACCUAAUAAUUUUAAUGUCUCUAUUGUACUCUCUUUCUUCUAAUAAUGCUUCCUUGGCUUAUUAGAAAAAAAAAAAAAAUCCUUUUGAAAACUUGUAGUGACAAUGAUAUAUUUUUGGUUUUCGCUUGCCAUGCCCUAGCAAUCAGAUUGCGUUAAGAGUCGUAUAUAUAAUGUAUGAUUUGGUUAUAGAUUUGAACUUACAAUUAAUCUCGUAGUAGUUGAGAUGACUUCAAUAAUUUACUUAUAUUUUAAAUUUCAAUCUAGAAUUAUAUUACGUGUUAAUUUCUGUUUGUUUGAGAAAAAUAAUUAACAAAAAAUUAUAUAUAUGCAUA